RNAcentral lists this ribosomal RNA (497 nucleotides) under uncultured bacterium. Its description in RNAcentral is "partial 16S ribosomal RNA". It matches the Rfam family "Bacterial small subunit ribosomal RNA", at positions 28 to 507 of the family's 1533-position model. The record is from RNAcentral.
GAUGAACGCUGGCGGCGUGCCUAAUACAUGCAAGUCGAGCGAACAGACGAGGAUCUUGCUCCUCUGACGUUAGCGGCGGACGGGUGAGUAACACGUGGAUAACCUACCUAUAAGACUUGGAUCACUUCGGGAAACCGGAGCUAAUACCGGAUAAUAUUUUUAACCGCAUGGUUCAAUAGUGAAAGACGGUUUUGCUGUCACUUAUAGAUGUAUCCGCGCCGCUUUGGCUAGUUUGUAAGGUAACGGCUUACCAAGGCAACGAUGCGUAGACGACCUGAGAGGGUGGUAGGCCAAACUGGAACUGAGACAGGGACAAGGCGCCUAAGGGAAGCAGCAGUAGGGUACCGGACGCAAUGGGCGAAAGGAUGACGGAGCAGAGGCGCGUGAGAGGUGAAGAUCUUGGGAUCGUAAAGACCGGUUAUUAGGGAAGAACAAAUGUGUAAGUAGCUAUGCACGUCUUGACGGUACCUAAUCAGAAAGCCACGGCUAACUACGUG